GAUUAUUUAUGCUCAUCGAGCAUGAGGAAAGAAAAGAAAGUACCACUAUCCAUCCAUUCUGGCCAUAAAAAAUGCUCUGUCUCUGAUUCAUGUCACCCCUUUAAUAUCAAGGAAUUGUGUAAUAAUCUUCAACACAAGUCUAUGAUUGAUUUCUUAUACCAAUCAGCCUGUCAACUUCAGCAAGAGACCAUACAAGUGGAAAAGUAAGACAGUAAGUUGGAUUAAUCAAGCAGAGAAAGGAGUUGAAAGCCAUAGCUGGGUCUGCAAACUGAAGCCUUCUCUAAAUUCUCAGAAAUUCUGGAAGAAAAUGUUGGAAAUUCCUCAGGAAAUGGAAAGUUUCUCUUGCUGCCAUGAUGUAAGAAGUGCCUUUCACCUCUCACCAUGAUUCUGAGCCCUCCCCAGCCAUGUGGAACUGAAACUUUUGCCCCUAGAGUCUUGGUACGACAAUCUGAAAUCAAGUUGCUUUUGUGUGGCUCUCUUUAAGUGUGGAUUGAUAUAAGUAUUGACCGUGUAUCCCAGGCUUCCUUGGAGUCCCAAGCUCAUCUCAGUUCAGCCACCUACCGACUAACCAAUAUAAUUAGCCAAUUAACAAAAAGAAAAGAAAAGAAAAGAAAAGAAAAAGAAGCCACGUGUUUUUAUUUGGAGAUGAGAGCAUCCAGUUUCACAUCACUACUGAACACAUGUUUGCUGCAGUUUACUAGAGGUCCACUUCAGACCCUCUUUGCCUGGGUAUCACCAGUGGAGGCUGCAGAACAGCCAAGAUUGCUGCCUGCUUCUUCCUCUGGAAGCUUCGUCCCAGAGGGACACCAGGCUGAUGCCAGCUGGAGCUCUCCUGUAUGAGGUGUCUGUCAGUCCCUGCUGGGAGGUCUCUCCCAGUCAGGAGGCUUGGGGGAUCAGGGACCCACUUGAGGAGGCAGUCUGUCCCUUAGCAGAGCUUGAGCACUAUGCUGGGAGAAUACUCCUUGUCAGGAUCAGCUGCUCUCUUCAGAGCCAGCAGGCAGGAAAGUUUAAGUCUGCUGAAGCUGUCCCCACAGCCGCCCCUUCCCCCAGGUGCUCUGUCCCAGGGAGAUGGGAGUUUUAUCUAUAAGCCCCUGACUGGCAUUUCUUUCAGAGAUGCCCUGCUGAGUGACGAGGAAUCCAGAGAGGCAGUCCGGCCACAGCCACUUUGCCACGCUGUGUUGAGUUCUGCCCAGUCCAAACUUCCAGGCCCCCUUAGCACUAUCAGGGGAAAACCACCUACUCAAGCCUCAGUAAUGGUGGACGCCCCUCCUCCUACCAAGCUCUAUCAUUCCAGGUUGACUUCAGACUGCUGAGCUGGCAGUGAGAAUUUCAAGCCAGUGGUUCUUAUCUUGCUGGGCACUGUGGGAGUGGGACCUGCUCGCUGAGUGAGACCACUUGGCUCCCUGGCUUCAGCCCCCUUUCCAGGGGAGUGAACGGUUCUGCCCCACUGGGGUUCCAGGAGCCACUGGGGUACAAGAAAAAAAAAAAAAAACUUCUGCAGCUAACUCAGCGUCUGCCCAAAUAACCGCCCAGUUUUGUGCUUGAAACCCAGAACCCUGGUGGUGUAGGCACACUAGGGAAUCUCCUGACCUGUGGAUUGCAAAAACCCUGGGAAAAGCGUAGUACCCAGGCCAGAUAGCACAGUCCCUCACAGCUUCCCUUUGGGUGGAGGAGGGAGGUCCCUGGCUCCUUACACUUUCCGGUGAGGUGACGCCCCACUUUGCUUCUGUUUGCCCUCUGUGGGCUGCACCCACUGCCUAACCAGUCCCAAUGAGAUGAACUGGGUACCUCAGAUAGAAAUGCAGAAAUCACCUGCCUUCUGCAUUGGUCUUGCUGGGAGCUGCAGACUGGAGCCAUCUUGCCAGAUUGAGUAAUUUCUUUCAACUUAGCUUUCUAAUCAAUUGUUAAAACAUGCAUAAUUAUUUAAAUAUUGGCAUAUGUAAAUUUGGAAGUACGGCAGUAUGGAAUAAACUAUUUUAUCCAACAUUUGAGGGAUAAUGCAUGUAAGACCAGGUGUAAUUCUCAUUUAAUUAAUAUCAGGCUCAUCAGUCUAUGCAGUUCCAUUUUCAAUAUUGACAUGUAUAAACAACAGAUGCAAAGCCUAUACACAUUCAAUAAAUUUUUUAUGACAUUA
This 2134-nucleotide long non-coding RNA is filed under the name Homo sapiens (human). RNAcentral's name for it is "HSALNT0376187". The record is from RNAcentral. Lineage: Eukaryota; Metazoa; Chordata; Mammalia; Primates; Hominidae.